This 225-nucleotide ribosomal RNA is filed under the name Enterobacter ludwigii. RNAcentral's name for it is "partial 23S ribosomal RNA". It matches the Rfam family "Bacterial large subunit ribosomal RNA", at positions 1474 to 1693 of the family's 2925-position model. The record is from RNAcentral. Lineage: Bacteria; Pseudomonadati; Pseudomonadota; Gammaproteobacteria; Enterobacterales; Enterobacteriaceae.
GGAGAAGGCUAUGUUAGCCGGGCGACGGUUGUCCCGGUUUAAGCAUGUAGGCGGAACGAUUAGGUAAAUCCGGUCGUUUAUUAACGCUGAGGUGUGAUGACGAGGCACUACGGUGCUGAAGUAACAAAUGCCCUGCUUCCAGGAAAAGCCUCUAAGCAUCAGGUAACACGAAAUCGUACCCCAAACCGACACAGGUGGUCAGGUAGAGAAUACCAAGGCGCUUGA